GGCUCCAUAGCUCAGUGAUUAGAGCAUUGGCCUUUUAAAUCAGAGCUCGUGAGUUCAAUUCUUAUUGGAGGCU
This 73-nucleotide transfer RNA is filed under the name Stegodyphus mimosarum. It matches the Rfam family "tRNA". Rfam says of the family: Transfer RNA (tRNA) molecules are approximately 80 nucleotides in length. Their secondary structure includes four short double-helical elements and three loops (D, anti-codon, and T loops). Lineage: Eukaryota; Metazoa; Arthropoda; Arachnida; Araneae; Eresidae. The record is from Rfam by way of RNAcentral.